UACGUAGGGGGCGAGCGUUGUCCGGAUUUAUUGGGCGUAAAGAGCUCGUAGGCGGUUUGGUAAGUCGGGUGUGAAAUCUCCACGCUCAACGUGGAGGGGCCACUCGAUACUGCCAUGACUCGAGUCCGGUAGAGGAGUGUGGAAUUCCCGGUGUAGCGGUGAAAUGCGCAGAUAUCGGGAGGAACACCGAUGGCGAAGGCAGGUCUCUGGGCCACUACUGACGCUGAGAAGCGAAAGCAUGGGGAGCGAACAGG
This 254-nucleotide ribosomal RNA is filed under the name uncultured bacterium. Its description in RNAcentral is "partial 16S ribosomal RNA". It matches the Rfam family "Bacterial small subunit ribosomal RNA", at positions 524 to 776 of the family's 1533-position model. The record is from RNAcentral.